This 76-nucleotide transfer RNA is filed under the name Staphylococcus pseudintermedius. Its description in RNAcentral is "tRNA-Val". It matches the Rfam family "tRNA". From Rfam's summary of the family: Transfer RNA (tRNA) molecules are approximately 80 nucleotides in length. The record is from RNAcentral. Lineage: Bacteria; Bacillati; Bacillota; Bacilli; Caryophanales; Staphylococcaceae.
GGAGAAUUAGCUCAGCUGGGAGAGCAUCUGCCUUACAAGCAGAGGGUCGGCGGUUCGAUUCCGUCAUUCUCCACCA